AUGACAACACAACCCAUGGACACAUUAAGUUGGAAUGUUUGUGGGCUGAACUACCCAGCUCGGAGGGAAACGGUUAGGGCAACGAUUGCCGCCACCUCAUGCCAGCUCGUCUAUCUUCAAGAGACAAAGCUCGACAACGUCGAUAAAUUCAUCGCUACCUUCCUGGGCGGCAAUAGACUUCAUAGCUUUGCACAACGCCCAACGUUAGGGACUAUGGGAAGAAUUCUUCUCGUAUGGGAUGACAAUGUUCUUGACAUCUUUGAUAUCACCGCAUCAACCUAUGGCCUCUCUGGCAUGGUCCAUAUCCGUGCAACCGACGUCUGCUUUAGGGUCAUGUCUGUAUAUGUGCCAACAGAUAAUGCUUGCAAAGAUGGGUUUUUUGCCGAGCCCAUCUCUCACAAGCCUCCCAAUGCGAUUGCAUGGCUAGCCCUUGGGGAUUUCAACCAAAUUUAUCACGCACAAGACAAAAAUAAGGAAAAAAUUAACCAGAGUAGGACCAAUCGCUUCCGGGCUGCGCUACAAUCUUGUGAGCUCAAGGAAAUUCACCUACAGAAUAGGCGCUUCACUUGGAGUAAUGAGCGGGACCCAACUCUUUGCAAGCUCGACUCCUUCUGUAAUGCAGAGCGGGAUAUGGCCUUCAACACCCAUGUGCUUCAUGAUUUGUGGUCUUCCCUCUCCGACCAUUGCCCCCUCCUACUGGCGGAUGACAAAGGGCCUAGAAGGCCAAGAUCUUUCACGUUUGAAAAUUUCUGGGCUUCUUUGCCUGGCUUCUCCGAGGUGGUGCAAAAGGCAUGGGACGAGCAUGUCGGGCACUCGGAGCCAUACCAAGUCCUAUACCACAAGCUCAAAAAAACCGCGACCCGGCUUACUGAGUGGAGCAAGAACCUGUUCUCCAAGGCAAAGGUCCAACUCCAUGCGGCCCUACUUGUGAUUCUUCACCUCGACAUUGUGCAAGAGGCGAGGGCCCUCUCUCCAAAGGAACGUGAAAUACGCUCGAGGCUCAAGCGGAGGGAGAUCAGUUUGGUGGUACUUGAGAGGACUAGGAAGAGCCAAUGUGCUCAGUUGGCAAACUUGAGGCAUGCGGAUGUAAACACAAAAUUCUUCCACUGCCGCAUCAAUGCCAGAAGAAGGAAGAAUCACAUUCACGAUAUUAAACACGCGCAUGGGUGGGUGACUGAGCACAAGGAAAAAGAGAAGAUCAUCCAUGACCAUUUCCCUGAGGUUAUGAGUAGGGGGCAUAGUAGCAACAAAGACUUCAACUAUGAUGAGCUUAGGGUGGAGACCUGA
Molecule: ribosomal RNA, 1287 nt
Filed under: Triticum aestivum (bread wheat)
Lineage: Eukaryota; Viridiplantae; Streptophyta; Magnoliopsida; Poales; Poaceae
Description: partial small subunit ribosomal RNA
Source: RNAcentral